This 466-nucleotide long non-coding RNA is filed under the name Helianthus annuus (common sunflower). RNAcentral's name for it is "hypothetical non coding rna". Lineage: Eukaryota; Viridiplantae; Streptophyta; Magnoliopsida; Asterales; Asteraceae. The record is from RNAcentral.
GUUGCUUUUUCUUCUUUACUUUCACAGAACAAAACAACAAGAACAAUUCUUUCUUUUCUUUUUUCUUUAAUCGAUCAAGUAACAAGCAAGUGGCAACCUUCACAAGCUUCCCAUUAGGGUUCUGACCGGUGGCUGUUCGGGGUUUAGGAGGAUGUCGACGGUGGUUCUCACAGGUUGUAGAUGUUUUUCCAGAUCCGAUUGAAUAACAGCACACAGGUUGUUGAGGGCUUCGCCGUCUGUUUAGAGCUUCGCCGGAACUGAGUGAAGAUCUGAACUGAACGGAUUGAAUAACUGAUUCGCCGGAGUUUUAGGGUUUUGUGCGGCGGCGGCGCUACUGAUUUGCUAUCGCCGGAACUGUUGUUGUUUGAUUUGAUUUUUGGUUUGGGUUUGUUGGUUUGAGAUUGAACAGGCUAGGAUAAAUUGUAGGUGAUGAGCAAUUCGGUUUCAAGAAUCAGAAACCUGCUCU